RNAcentral lists this ribosomal RNA (253 nucleotides) under uncultured bacterium. Its description in RNAcentral is "partial 16S ribosomal RNA". It matches the Rfam family "Bacterial small subunit ribosomal RNA", at positions 524 to 776 of the family's 1533-position model. The record is from RNAcentral.
UACGUAGGGUGCGAGCGUUGUCCGGAAUUAUUGGGCGUAAAGAGCUUGUAGGCGGUCUGUCGCGUCUGCUGUGAAAAUCCGGGGCUCAACCCCGGACUUGCAGUGGGUACGGGCAGACUAGAGUGUGGUAGGGGAGACUGGAAUUCCUGGUGCAGCGGUGAAAUGCGCAGAUAUCAGGAGGAACACCGAUGGCGAAGGCAGGUCUCUGGGCCACUACUGACGCUGAGAAGCGAAAGCAUGGGGAGCGAACAGG